RNAcentral lists this long non-coding RNA (230 nucleotides) under Nicotiana benthamiana. Its description in RNAcentral is "long non-coding RNA (NBEN_LNC028786)". The record is from RNAcentral. Lineage: Eukaryota; Viridiplantae; Streptophyta; Magnoliopsida; Solanales; Solanaceae.
AUCUCCGCAACCUUCAUUCUCUGAACAUGAGAGUUCUUCACUGGCCAAGCACUCUGCCCCAUACAACAUUGCAGGUCUAACCACAGCUCUAUAAAAUUUUCCCUUGUGUUUCUGUGGAACUUUCUUGUCACACAGGACUACUGAUGCAAGCCUCCACUUUGACCACCCCGCUCCUAUACGGUGAGUGACGUCCCCAUCAAUCUCUCCUUCCCCCUGAAUCACCGACCCAA